ACGGUGCUGUAAGUGGAAUGCCACGGA
RNAcentral lists this non-coding RNA (27 nucleotides) under Homo sapiens (human). Lineage: Eukaryota; Metazoa; Chordata; Mammalia; Primates; Hominidae. The record is from RNAcentral.